UAAAAUGUCAAUGCCUUGGCUCAACUCAGCAC
RNAcentral lists this non-coding RNA (32 nucleotides) under Mus musculus (house mouse). Lineage: Eukaryota; Metazoa; Chordata; Mammalia; Rodentia; Muridae. The record is from RNAcentral.